Molecule: long non-coding RNA, 2186 nt
Organism: Candoia aspera
Lineage: Eukaryota; Metazoa; Chordata; Lepidosauria; Squamata; Candoiidae
Exons: 2
Source: RefSeq, a predicted model, not a curated record
CAGGCCAGGCAUCUGUAGAGGGAGAGUGGUUGUGGUUGCACAAAUGACCACUCAAAAAACAAGUUACAGGUGUACCACCUGUCCUUCUUUUUACAAGGAAAAGAAAAAACAAAAGCAAGACAGGCUACUGAAAAAAAAAGAAAUUGGGGAAAAUCCUCUCCAGUGCUGCUGCUAAGGUGGCUGAAGGACAACUAAGUUAAAGGUGGGACCCAAGCCCAUGAAACAUGAGCACUUGAUGGGCCAAAUUUCCUGCCGUAAUUCUAGAAGAUUCUGAGCCUUCCAUGGGCUCCACUGCCUGGGAAGAAGUUUCCAUCAUCAUAGCGAUGGAGUGAAAUAUAAAGGACAUUGGGAUCACUGUAGAAAGCUUGCUGGGUACCAUUUCCAUGAUGUACAUCCUUAAAUGACAGACAUUGCAAAAUAUCAGAAGUAUUACUUAGAAGUGGCUCUCUACAAGAAAACCUCUGUACAGAGGAUGGAUCAGCUAUGGAGGUAAAUAGUACAACUGUACAUAACAUGAUAUGCUUUGGAUUUGAUCUCAGAGUAUGCUGGUAGGCAAGCAUAUCUCCUCUCUAUAUCAGCCAUGCUUUUCCCUCAGCAAAGGUACAGUUGUUUUAAAGUGUCACAGAUGGGUGCUCUGGUCACAUCCCACACACUUUGAACCAUAUUUUGGAGCUGAAGGUCUUGUAUGCACACAGCUCCUAACUUUGUGUACACCCGCACACACCCACAAACUCCACUGAUUUGACAGAAAUAUAUAGGUGAGUGAAACUACAAUUUCAAGAAAUUUUUCAGAUGAACCAAAAUAAAUCUGACAUUUACAAUAUUUUGUAUUCUUACUUGGCUUGGCUAUAAAACUUUAUUCAUAAAAUUCCUAUCCUUUUUAUCAAUGAAUAUAUUAUUUUGGAUAAAUAGUUUCCUUCAAACUCUAAUCAGUAAGAAAAAGGUUGGCAAAGUAACAAGAAGUCUCUUCCAAUUAUUAUACUACCAUGAAUUACUCCUGAGGGAAAUGUUGGCAGGCCAGGCAGGAUGGCAGGCCUAUGGGCUGUCAGUUACCCCUUCAUGUCCCAGGGACGUGGCAACUCUGAACACUCACUGCCUCUAUGAAACAAAGAGUAAUUCAGAUUCUUUAAAUUCUUCUAUCACUAUGACUUGUCUUCGUAUCAACCAGUAGUCUUUAGAAUGUGACAGUUCAGGCAGAAACCUCAAAGGAUGAGAUUGUAGGAAUGCAUAAUAUAUCCCUGAUUCUAACAUUUCAUGUCAACACUUUCCAGUAAGGUGUUCUCAGAACAGAAUGGAAAGCUUGAAGGAGAACUUAGGAAGAAUCAUGAAAAUUAAGAGAAGGAUCCAGCAUGAGAAUCAGACAUAUGAAAAUUGCCAGAAGAAAAUACUUAAUGCUGAGAAAGAGAAUGUUUCCCAAAUCCAAAACAGCCAUCUUUAUGGUGGGACUGAAGAUUUUGUUUCAACCAGUCAUACAUCCAGAGGUAUUCAGUUUUACCUCUUUCACCACUUGUAGGAGAUUGUCCAUGUCCUCAUAUAGCAGAGUAGCUAGGAAGUCAGAUGUUUUUCAAGUCCUCACAAUCUGCUCUAGAAUCUUGACUGGUAAGAGUCAGACUGACUGGCCUGCCAUUCCCUGACUCUUCCUUUCUGAAAACAGACAUUUGCCCUCUUCCAGUCAUCAGGUAUGUAACCAAGUCAACAGAAUUUCUCAAAGAUUAUACAUAAAUGUUCAGUUAGACCAUCAGCUGGUUCCCUCAGAUGUGGGGAGUAGACAAGUUGCAGGUGUCAGAAGGCAAUGCUGCAAAAUAGAGAAACUGAUGGGUUGAUUGAUUCACACCUGCCUCUUGAUCUGUUAAGUCUGGAACACCAGCCUCAGCUGUGGAAGUACAGUAUAGGCAGUCCUUUUCCUUUACGCUAACUAGCUCAUCUGCUUCUCAGCUGGAAUUCCCUUUUUGAGAGAAUCCCUCCAUUUUCCAUCAGGGAAGUGAGCUGUUUCAAAGCCAGGCUCCUUUGAAGGAUUGGAACAGUCUUUUCUGCCUUUUGCUUUCUCUUAGUUUUUUCCCCUGCAUUGGAACUGUUUGUGCCUUUAAUUUCUCUCCCCCAUCUUGGGCUCCUUUUUUCCACUGGCUUUCCCUGUCAUCAAAAUGUUACCUGUAAUUGCUCUAUAAUAAAUUUAUAUCUAAAAUUUA